Long non-coding RNA from Pogoniulus pusillus (Red-fronted tinkerbird), 652 nucleotides. RefSeq lists it as uncharacterized. The transcript has 3 exons. The record is from RefSeq and is a predicted model, not a curated record. NCBI's taxonomy places the organism in Eukaryota, Metazoa, Chordata, Aves, Piciformes, Lybiidae.
CUGCUCAGCAUCACUUGUUCUCGAUCAGGGUCUGCACUUUGUAGACAAGGUCUCUUGCUAUCCUCAGGAUUUCCUCAGCGUCAUGGUGCUCUGCCAUCUCUAGAAGACACAGACAAACGCUCUUAACUGCCCCAGCAUCGACCUGAAGGGAGCAUUAGCGAAAUCCCAGACGGAGAGGGCUGCCCCCACACGUGCCUGUGAACGGCUUCUGAGCUCCCAAGGCAGCAAUAAAGCUGAGCUCAGCUGGGUCAGAGGAUCCCUCUCCAGGCAAGGAGUGCAGUGGAGAGGCAGGGAUGCAACCCAGCAACACAGCUCUGAAGUGCCAGGUGACAAGGAGCCUCAGUCCUUGGAGUCCCUGCCCUUCACCAUCAAGCCAGUUCUGAUUCUCACCACAGACUCCUCUCCUCUCCCAGGAGGUCCAAGACAGCUCACCUGGAUGAGGGACCGCAUGUUGGCGAAGUGUGUGUCCAUAGCACCUCCGUUGGGGAAGUUCUGGCUCAUCCUCUUCAUCAGGUGGCUGAAGCAGCUGUAAGCCAGCUGAUCUGCAGGCACAAGGCAGGAGGCUGAGCACUGUGGGACUGCCUUGGACCAAAAUAACAAACUGCAAGGCAGGGGAGAAACUGCCCUCUGCUGCUCCCUAACCCCAUCACCA